RNAcentral lists this ribosomal RNA (380 nucleotides) under uncultured eukaryote. RNAcentral's name for it is "partial 18S ribosomal RNA". It matches the Rfam family "Eukaryotic small subunit ribosomal RNA", at positions 592 to 976 of the family's 1831-position model. The record is from RNAcentral.
CAAUAGCGUAUAUUAAAGUUGUUGCGGUUAAAAAGCUCGUAGUUGGAUUUCUGCCGAGGACGACCGGUCCGCCCUCUGGGUGAGUAUCUGGCUCGGCCUGGGCAUCUUCUUGGAGAACGUAGCUGCACUUGACUGUGUGGUGCGGUAUCCAGGACUUUUACUUUGAGGAAAUUAGAGUGUUUCAAGCAGGCUUACGCCUUGAAUACAUUAGCAUGGAAUAAUAAGAUAGGACCUCGGUUCUAUUUUGUUGGUUUCUAGAGCUGAGGUAAUGAUUAAUAGGGAUAGUUGGGGGCAUUCGUAUUUAACUGUCAGAGGUGAAAUUCUCGGAUUUGUUAAAGACGGACUACUGCGAAAGCAUUUGCCAAGGAUGUUUNCAUUGA